Long non-coding RNA from Diprion similis, 1142 nucleotides. RefSeq lists it as uncharacterized. The transcript has 2 exons. NCBI's taxonomy places the organism in Eukaryota, Metazoa, Arthropoda, Insecta, Hymenoptera, Diprionidae. The record is from RefSeq and is a predicted model, not a curated record.
AUUCCAGCUCUAAGAAGAAACAGUAAAAUAAUGAGAUCGAGCCAUUUGAAAAUGGGUAAAAACAGCGAGAAAUAUCUUCCAAAAUCAAUUAUCCAUCAAAGCUGUCACUGUCUAUUACAUCAACCUUAUACGUGAAUAUGUGCUUAAUACAAUGAAACUGUUUACAGUGCAUACUACUUGAACUACUUGAACUUUGAUACAUGGAGUUUCAAGAUAGCAAUGAGUUUUAUCUGCCAACCAUUGCGGGCUUAUCAAUCGGCUUUGACUGUUCAUUAGUAGAAUUUCACACUUUGGAGACCACUGCCGAAUGCUCAAGCUGCUGCUACUCUCUCAAUAAAUUUCACAGACAUGAUAUUGGAUAGAACAGAUGCAGCAAGUGUGGGUUGCAGCAUUGGAUGCAUCAGUGUUUAUCUUGGUAGCUGGUACGUGGUAUUUUAAAACGCUUCAGCAUAUGUGUGUCAGCAGAACCAGUGUACCAAGCUGUGUAAUGUAUUUACAACAGGCAUUGCAUAACUAGCCUUUUUAACACCUGAGGAUCAAGUUAUCAUGGUGAUGGGAAAUCUGCAUUUAUGAUAGCCAAAGUAUGGUAUGGUUAGUAAAAUUUAAAAAGAAUAAAUAAAGCAUAACAAAAAAGGGACAGUAAUCAGUCGUAGUGAAAUAGCAUCGGUAUUUCACGGUAUUAUCUGAAUAUGUGCAAUCGGGCUACAUCUAUUACACUUCAAGCCAAUUAUGCACUUCUGCAUGCAUAUACCUAUACCUAUGCAUGUAGUACGCAUGUACGUGCGAAUGUAUAAGCUAUGGGUAAAUCGAAUGCAGGUACCGAACAGGUAUGUGAGUGUGACGGCAUUGAAACAAUCGAGAAUAUACCGACGACGAACCUGAAUUGAUAAGAAUUGCUAAACGGGCUAUCGAUAGUUCAAAUUUCUUUUGCUAUUUUUUGUAAUAGUUAAGACUCACUUUUGUCCGCCGGAGAUGACAGCUUGUCGACAUACGCUUAGCAUUGUUACGUGUUAUGCCUUUAUACCCCACCCAAGGAUGUAGGAUUUUCUGUGGCUGGUGGCACAAGUGUUGGUGCUGGGAUUAUAUAUCUGUAUCUUCGUCCGGAUGUCGCGGAACUGUUGAGUCGGCUCUAGACCAUCAAA